Molecule: non-coding RNA, 323 nt
Filed under: Bacteroides stercoris
Lineage: Bacteria; Pseudomonadati; Bacteroidota; Bacteroidia; Bacteroidales; Bacteroidaceae
Description: Bacterial small subunit ribosomal RNA
Rfam family: Bacterial small subunit ribosomal RNA
Source: Rfam by way of RNAcentral
ACAAUGAAGAGUUUGAUCCUGGCUCAGGAUGAACGCUAGCUACAGGCUUAACACAUGCAAGUCGAGGGGCAGCAUCAUCAAAGCUUGCUUUGAUGGAUGGCGACCGGCGCACGGGUGAGUAACACGUAUCCAACCUGCCGACAACACUGGGAUAGCCUUUCGAAAGAAAGAUUAAUACCGGAUGGCAUAAUUAUUCCGCAUGGGAUGAUUAUUAAAGAAUUUCGGUUGUCGAUGGGGAUGCGUUCCAUUAGGCAGUUGGCGGGGUAACGGCCCACCAAACCAACGAUGGAUAGGGGUUCUGAGAGGAAGGUCCCCCACAUUGG